CGGCCGCGGUAUCCUGACCGCGCGAAGGUAGCGUAAUCAUUUGUCUUUUAAAUGGAGACCUGUAUGAAAGGCAUUACGAGGAUUUAACUGUCUCCUUAAUUUAAUCAGUGAAAUUGAUCCCCCCGUGAAAAAGCGGGAAUAAAGCCAUAAGACGAGAAGACCCUAUGGAGCUUAAAACCUCAAACUACUUGUAUAACCUGCCUAUUAACAAGCACUAAAGACAAACCUAGUUUAAGUUUUCUGUUGGGGUGACUGUGGAGAAAAACUAAUCCUCCAUGAAGAAUAAACUUAGAGCUACCACCCUAAGUAUUAGUAAACCUAACUUUAAUUGAUCCAAUCUUUGAUCAACGGACCAAGUUACCCUAGGGAUAACAGCGCUAUCCAUUUCAAGAGUCCCUAUCGACAAAUGGGUUUACGACCUCGAUGUUGGAUUAGGACAUCCUAGUGGUGAAGCCGCUACUAAUGGUUCGUUUGUU
This 476-nucleotide ribosomal RNA is filed under the name Leptobrachium nigrops (black-eyed litter frog). Its description in RNAcentral is "partial 16S ribosomal RNA". It matches the Rfam family "Bacterial large subunit ribosomal RNA", at positions 1928 to 2581 of the family's 2925-position model. Lineage: Eukaryota; Metazoa; Chordata; Amphibia; Anura; Megophryidae. The record is from RNAcentral.